CGCGUAGGCGGGAUGGCAAGUCGGUCGUGAAAUCCUUCGGCUCAACCGAAGAACGUCGGCCGAUACUGCCGUUCUUGAGGGAUGCAGAGGAGACUGGAAUUCCCGGUGUAGCGGUGAAAUGUGUAGAGAUCGGGAGGAACACCGGUGACGAAGGCGGGUCUCUGGGCAUCUCCUGACGCUGAGGCGCGAAAGCGUGGGGAGCAAACGGGAUUAGAUACCCCGGUAGUCCACGCCAUAAACGAUGACGACUAGGUGUGGGGUGGUUCAGUCCACUCCGUGCCGCAGCUAACGCAUUAAGUCGUCCGCCUGGGGAGUACGGCCGCAAGGUUGAA
Molecule: ribosomal RNA, 332 nt
Filed under: uncultured bacterium
Lineage: Bacteria
Description: bacterial SSU rRNA
Rfam family: Bacterial small subunit ribosomal RNA
Source: RNAcentral